Molecule: long non-coding RNA, 596 nt
Organism: Coregonus clupeaformis (lake whitefish)
Lineage: Eukaryota; Metazoa; Chordata; Actinopteri; Salmoniformes; Salmonidae
Exons: 2
Source: RefSeq, a predicted model, not a curated record
CUGGCAGAGGCAGGCUGAAAACCAACAUCACCAUGCAGAGCUGGCAGAGGCAGGCUGAAAACCAACAUCACCAAGCAGGGCUGGUCUCUGACACGGGUUUGUGUUCCUUCUCCAGCUAAGAGAGAACUGAAUGACUCUACAAAGAGAGAAACAUCGUAAUGAAUAGCUUUCUGAACUACAAGACAGUGUGAAACGUUACGGUGGAGUCAGAGGUUGGUAGAGCAACGCCAGGGUUGUGGGUUCGAUUCCCAUGGGGGGCCAGUAUGAAAAAUGUAUGCACUCACUAACUGUAAGUCGCUCUGGAUAAGAGCGUCUGCUAAAUGACUAAAAUGUAAGUGAAGAAAUGUAAUUCUAGUGUCAGAGAAAAUACACAUUUCUCCAAAACAAACCGUAGCCUACACUGCCUAUAAUGAAAAGCAACAUGAAAAUAAAUGCUAAUGUAUUUGAGAUUGACUGUUUGGGUAAACAUUUUUUUUUUUUUUAUGGUUGAUUUUCCAGAGUAGAAAAAUGCAACACCAUCUCUCCAUUGAAGUCAACACAAAACAUCCAUCGCUCCAUGGAAGUCAAUACAAAAUAAAACCCUUUUUAAAAUCCGA